AAGCGUGGGGAGCAAAACAGGAUUAGAUACCCUGGUAGUCCACGCCGUAAACGAUGUCGACUUGGAGGUUGUGCCCUUGAGGCGUGGCUUCCGGAGCUAACGCGUUAAGUCGACCGCCUGGGGAGUACGGCCGCAAGGUUAAAACUCAAAUGAAUUGACGGGGGCCCGCACAAGCGGUGGAGCAUGUGGUUUAAUUCGAUGCAACGCGAAGAACCUUACCUACUCUUGACAUCCAUAGAACUUUCCAGAGAUGGAUUGGUGCCUUCGGGAACUCUGAGACAGGUGCUGCAUGGCUGUCGUCAGCUCGUGUUGUGAAAUGUUGGGUUAAGUCCCGCAACGAGCGCAACCCUUAUCCUUUGUUGCCAGCGGUUAGGCCGGGAACUCAAAGGAGACUGCCAGUGAUAAACUGGAGGAAGGUGGGGAUGACGUCAAGUCAUCAUGGCCCUUACGAGUAGGGCUACACACGUGCUACAAUGGCGCAUACAAAGAGAAGCGACCUCGCGAGAGCAAGCGGACCUCAUAAAGUGCGUCGUAGUCCGGAUUGGAGUCUGCAACUCGACUCCAUGAAGUCGGAAUCGCUAGUAAUCGUAGAUCAGAAUGCUACGGUGAAUACGUUCCCGGGCCUUGUACACACCGCCCGUCACACCAUGGGAGUGGGUUGCAAAAGAAGUAGGUAGCUUAACCUUCGGGAGGGCGCUUACCACUUUGUGAUUCAUGACUGGGG
Molecule: ribosomal RNA, 724 nt
Filed under: bacterium IRQ_57
Lineage: Bacteria
Description: bacterial SSU rRNA
Rfam family: Bacterial small subunit ribosomal RNA
Source: RNAcentral